CCCUCCACUUCCUGCCAUAUUGUGAGCCGGUUCAGUCCCGGCCCCCGCGUCAUCACCCCUCGUCACACCUCCUCAACCCGGACGCGCGCGGGACCGGCUGAGCCUGCCGGCGUGCGGAAGACUUCAUUCGCAGGAUAUGUUACUUCGUGUGGCACGUUUACGACGUGCGCGGCGUUGGCGAGACGCGGUGCACGCGAGGAGGCCGCAGGGAGGCUGGCUACUCCUCUGCAGCUCCUGGGGCAGAUAAGGGAGAUAUUGUCGGAGGAGGAGGAGCGUGAAGGAAAGAGGGGAGACGGGCCACAGCUCUGCGCUGCACACAGCUACAAUGGGAGAGGCGUGUUAGAGCGAGAGCAGUACAGCCGAGGGACUCGCUGCAGUGCAGGUGGAUCACAACCAGAGGCCGAGGCUCACAGGCAGCAGCGUGACUCCGACUGGCUUUCCAGCAGGUUUGUGGUGCAAAUUCUUUACAAAGCUAGCCGGUU
This is a long non-coding RNA of Gasterosteus aculeatus (three-spined stickleback), 482 nucleotides long. NCBI's taxonomy places the organism in Eukaryota, Metazoa, Chordata, Actinopteri, Perciformes, Gasterosteidae. The record is from Ensembl.